This is a long non-coding RNA of Mustela lutreola (European mink), 2000 nucleotides long. RefSeq lists it as uncharacterized. The transcript is spliced from 3 exons. NCBI's taxonomy places the organism in Eukaryota, Metazoa, Chordata, Mammalia, Carnivora, Mustelidae. The record is from RefSeq and is a predicted model, not a curated record.
UUGGGCUCAGCCUACGGUUUGGUGCAUGUCUUCUUCACGGGUACGUUUCCCGGCUAUGCUUCUGCUGAGUUCUGUAGCAGCAGAGGCCACUGAAAAUAUUGGAUCAAAUGGAGAGUCCCACUAUUGUGUUCCCGGUCUGUGCUGAGGGGACAUGCUCACACCCUGAUAGAAAAUGGUAUCGCUAUUGUGUGAUACACCGUGAGCGAGUUUAUUGCAAAUUUGGGGCACUUCCUCUGAGGGAACAUGGUAGUGAGUUCCUGCAAAUGGCCACAGGGUUUGUUGGGGGAGAAUGGAGAUAUGUGUCGGGAACCCAAGAGCUCAGAGCCAUGAUCAUGAUGCCAAAUGUGGAGGGGAGAGGGAAGACAGUCCGGAGGCAAAGAUUGCAGAGUUCUAGAGUGUUUGGCCACUGCCUUAUGAAUCCACCUCUCCUCCUCUUUUCUCCCCCCAAACCCAAUAAGAAAACAUAGAAGCAAAAGCCAGAGGAGCUGGAGGUCAAGGCAGACUUUAUGUUCAAAGUGCCUACGCAGCCUAGCUCAUGAGGACUGAUCAAAUGCAGAAGGUUUUGUUGGCUGCAGAGGCUCUGUGGUCAGAGGAAUGCACAGGUGGCACCUUUGACUGGUUUAUUUGAGGUUGUUUUGGUUUGGUGACCACAGGACAUUUGCAUCUAUGCUCCCUGAAAAGAAUAUAGGGCCUGGGUAAAUGAGAACAGUCUCGAUAGGAAAAUUCAUUUGCUUACAAGAUAAAAAGCGAGUAGAGUACUUCCACAUAACUUGUGGCUCUUGUGAGCAGAGAGACCACUUUUUUAAAAUCCCAAAAUGGAACACAUGGUUCAGCAGGCACUGGUAUAUUUAGGGAAGACAGGGUGGGCUAUUUAAAAUCAGCAACUUCUGAAAAUCCUUGAGGCAUGACCACCCGAUCUGUACGAUUAAAUUAGUAAAAGUGGGCUAGGAGCGGGCUGUGGAACAUUAGCAAAAACUUGUAGUUAGCGUCCGUGUGCUCCACAAAGUGAGUUCUACCACAGAACAGACAGACAAACAGUACUCUGUCAGUGGAUACGGUGGUUGGGGAAGGCAGGUGAGCACAAUACAUCCAGGCCCCUGAGGACGAUGGCAGAGGAUGAGACAGAGCUGAGGCCCUCGACCCACUCUCUGGGUGUCGAGACUCCCCCUAAUGAAGGCAGCUGCCUCAGAGUUCAUCCACACAGGAGGAAGCUGGUCAGGGACCAGCAAGGUCUUCAAAACAUAGCCCGGACGGAUGUGCGGAAAGCUGACCAGGAAAAGGAUGGAGCCAAAAAAAAGGACGGAGGCCUGAGGUGUCAGGGGACAGAAAGCCAAGCCUUCAGUCCGACUGGAAGACCCGCUGUAACCUGGUAGUGAGGUUAUGGGGGAGCAGCAGCCCUCACCACCUCCAACCACCUCCAACCUUCUACCAUGGCAACCCUGAGGAGUUCUGUAUCGCCACAGCAGCGGAGGUCAGUCCACAGCGAGCAUGCCUCUAGCAUGCUGAGAUUGGUAUCAUCGCCCUCUCAUCUGGAUGAGGAAAUCAAAGCCCAGAGCCGCUCAGUCUCAAGUGAAUCAAGGCAGAACCUGAGUUUAGGACGUGAAUUCUGUCGGAUUCUGAACCCAAGUGCGCUCUGCUGUCGGGAGUUAGCAAUUCCUCAGUGGGGCAGGGAUUGAGUUUUUAAAAUUUUUGUUUUAUUUUUAUUACUUGUACGCUACUCACUUCAUGUCCGGCUCUGGAACACACACAGCUUUUGGCACUUCAUUCAUUGUAUUUUAUCAAAAGCGUUUUCUGGGCGGGGGAGGAAAGCUAGAUGGAUGUUGGAAUAUGGGAGCCAGCUUUCCGGUUCUUUUGCUUUUAAUUAUUUUGAUUGACAUGUGGCAUUGCUCUCAAUGUCUAAUGGCCUCUCGCGUCUUUGAGCCGCAGAAGAAUCAGUCCCUAGGAAUCUGUCACAGCACUCAUCUCCAGGGCCCCGGGCGCUCUGGAUGGCUCUGAUCCUC